GGUGCCUACGGGGCGCAGCAGUAGGGAAUCUUCCACAAUGGACGAAAGUCUGAUGGAGCAACGCCGCGUGAGUGAAGAAGGGUUUCGGCUCGUAAAGCUCUGUUGGUAGUGAAGAAAGAUAGAGGUAGUAACUGGCCUUUAUUUGACGGUAAUUACUUAGAAAGUCACGGCUAACUACGUGCCAGCAGCCGCGGUAAUACGUAGGUGGCAAGCGUUGUCCGGAUUUAUUGGGCGUAAAGCGAGUGCAGGCGGUUCAAUUAGUCUGAUUUGGAAGCCUUCGGCUCAACCGGAGAAUU
RNAcentral lists this ribosomal RNA (296 nucleotides) under uncultured bacterium. RNAcentral describes it as "partial 16S ribosomal RNA". It matches the Rfam family "Bacterial small subunit ribosomal RNA", at positions 333 to 622 of the family's 1533-position model. The record is from RNAcentral.